AUUGAACGCUGGCGGCAGGCUUAACACAUGCAAGUCGAACGAGUGGCGGACGGGUGAGUAAUGUUUGGGAAACUGCCUGAUGGAGGGGGAUAACUACUGGAAACGGUAGCUAAUACCGCAUACCAUCAGAUGUGCCCAGAUGGGAUUAGCUAGUAGGUGGGGUAACGGCUCACCUAGGCGACGAUCACUAGCUGGUCUGAGAGGAUGACCAGCCACACUGGAACUGAGACACGGUCCAGACUCCUACGGGAGGCAGCAGUGGGGAAUAUUGCACAAUGGGCGCAAGUUUGAUGCAGCCAUGCCGCGUGAAUGAAGAAGGCCUUCGGGUUGUAAAGUUCUUUCGGUAGCGAGGCGUUACCUACAGAAGAAGCACCGGCUAACUCCGUGCCAGCAGCCGCGGUAAUUC
This 406-nucleotide ribosomal RNA is filed under the name uncultured bacterium. RNAcentral describes it as "partial 16S ribosomal RNA". It matches the Rfam family "Bacterial small subunit ribosomal RNA", at positions 30 to 526 of the family's 1533-position model. The record is from RNAcentral.